UCUUUUUCAACGUGCCUUUCUCUCAAACUCAACAUACUCUUUUUCUCUACCAAUAAUUAAACUAACAAAAAGUGAGAUCAUUCCUUUGGACUUGUGCUUAAUUUUUUCUCCUCUCUUAAAUCAAGAAAGGUAUGCUCUCUCAUGACUUCACUUGUGAAUUCUCUCAAAGAUGGACAUAGUGCUUCAUAGCUUAGGAUGAUUUGUUACUUGAAUUAAGUUUUUGUGAGAUUAUUGGGAUGAUUACUACUUGUUGGAAUAAUUAUGUUGUCAUUGAUGCCUUGUUUCACUAAUUUUAUUCGUGAUACUUUCUUAAAUGAAGCUAGUGCACCAUGUGUUUGACAAAAUGUCCAUUGAACCUUUCUUCCUUAUUUUGUGGUGGGUGGAUCAAGUACGAUAAUAUGAGCAUCUUGAGUAUGUUUAGAGAUGAUUUGGUGAAAUAAUCUUAUUCUCUUGUGCUCUUAUUCUCUUUCUUCCAAGUUCUUGAUUGGCAUGUCCACUAUGUGUUUGAUGAAAUGACAUUAAGAGAGGAAUGUGUUGUUGCUUAGGAUGGCCAAUGUGAAUUUCCUUAGGACAUGGUGUGGUCAUUUCUUAUGCAUUUUUUUUGGGUCCAGUUGAACCUAAUAAUGAAAUAGUUGGUCAUUGGUUGAGGGAGAUUGUUGAGAAAUAGGACAUCCAUGGUUCUUGUUGGUCACUAAGCCUAAUCGGAAAACAUGAAUGUUUGCCUUGCCCUAUGAUAGAUUGGAUGACAUCAUUCUUAAGGGUAUUGGUUAUUCUUGUUUCUAUUGGAGGUUAUGGAUGUCCUAUGAGCUAGUUUUGAGAAAUGUGAAGAAUGUGAGAUAAUGUCGUGCCUAAAUGAUUAAGUGUUGCAAUAAAUAAAACCCAUGGACUCUAGUGAUGAGUUAUCUUAAACCUAUAUCUUGUCCCGCAAGACCUUGGUGAUUCCAAACUAAGUAAUUGUACAUUAGUGGCGAAAUACACAAAGGGCAAGUCGAUGGUUUUAUUCAAUGUACUUGAAUUUCGUUGUGAGAGUGAGUGUGAAUUCUUUCUUUAUUUGAGCUCCCUUAAUAAUUGAAAUAUCUUUGGUGUGCGGAGCUAACUCUUGCAUGUGAGCGGCGUCGGUACUUGUGGGUAGAGGGUGAUGUUUUACUAUCAGUUUGGGCAAAUGAAUGAAGUAAGUUGCAUUGUGAAGAUUGAGACAAUCUUUGAUGAUUUUGUGUCUUACCUUAAGAUGUUUUGUGAUUUGGAAAAUUCAUUUGACACACACUUGCAUCCUUACUUCAUAAAUAUAUGUUUAUUGAAAAGUUUUGGUUUACUUGUUGCCAUGACAUGUGUGGAAAGUAUUUGUAGAGUUUUGUUAGUCUAUUUCUUUAGUAUAGCUUUCUUCUAGGUGGAUUUGAGCUAAAUACCCUAUCUCACUGAGUUAGUCUUGGGUGCUUUUAAGUUUGGGGGGUUGAUAAGUCAUCAAUUUGACGACUUGCUAGCACCUUUUAAGCCUAAAUUAUCAUGUUUUUUCAUUGAUUUGAUGGUACGCUUUUACGUAAUUCCCAUUUAUGUAGGUAAAAGUAAAAAGAGAAGAUUGAACAAGUUAUUCAAGUCAUCAAGAGGCCAAAUGUGAAGGAAAUGAGUCAUCCACUUUGCAUCUGCUUUGCAUCCGCUUCACAUCUGCUUUGGAGCUGCUAGCCAUCUGCUCUUCAUCCGCUUUGAAUUCGCUCAAGAAGAUCAAGGAUAAGGUCGCAAUUUUGUAAUUUUCAUCAAAUGUAGAGUGGAGUUUAAAAGGAGGGUUUUAGCUCUUUUUUUAAGACCUAGUUUUCAUCCCUUAGCAAGAUAGC
This 1829-nucleotide long non-coding RNA is filed under the name Capsicum annuum. Its description in RNAcentral is "long non-coding RNA (CANN_LNC000457)". The record is from RNAcentral. Lineage: Eukaryota; Viridiplantae; Streptophyta; Magnoliopsida; Solanales; Solanaceae.